This 411-nucleotide ribosomal RNA is filed under the name Bacillota bacterium. RNAcentral's name for it is "Firmicutes bacterium partial 16S ribosomal RNA". It matches the Rfam family "Bacterial small subunit ribosomal RNA", at positions 355 to 776 of the family's 1533-position model. The record is from RNAcentral. Lineage: Bacteria; Bacillati; Bacillota.
UGGGGAAUAUUGCACAAUGGGCGCAAGCCUGAUGCAGCAACGCCGCGUGAGGGAUGACGGCCUUCGGGUUGUAAACCUCUUUUGUCAGGGAAGAAGCCUUCGGGUGACGGUACCUGGAGAAAAAGCACCGGCUAACUACGUGCCAGCAGCCGCGGUAAUACGUAGGGUGCAAGCGUUGUCCGGAAUUAUUGGGCGUAAAGAGCUCGUAGGCGGCUUGUCGCGUCUGCUGUGAAAACCCGAGGCUCAACCUCGGGCCUGCAGUGGGUACGGGCAGGCUAGAGUGCGGUAGGGGAGAUUGGAAUUCCUGGUGUAGCGGUGGAAUGCGCAGAUAUCAGGAGGAACACCGAUGGCGAAGGCAGAUCUCUGGGCCGCUACUGACGCUGAGGAGCGAAAGCAUGGGGAGCGAACAGG